RNAcentral lists this ribosomal RNA (253 nucleotides) under uncultured bacterium. RNAcentral's name for it is "partial 16S ribosomal RNA". It matches the Rfam family "Bacterial small subunit ribosomal RNA", at positions 524 to 776 of the family's 1533-position model. The record is from RNAcentral.
UACAGAGGGUGCGAGCGUUAAUCGGAAUCACUGGGCGUAAAGGGUGCGUAGGCGGGAUCUUAAGUCAGAGGUGAAAGCCUGGAGCUCAACUCCAGAACUGCCUUUGAUACUGGGAUUCUUGAGUUCGGGAGAGGUGAGCGGAACUGCGAGUGUAGAGGUGAAAUUCGUAGAUAUUCGCAAGAACACCAGUGGCGAAGGCGGCUCACUGGCCCGAUACUGACGCUGAGGCACGAAAGCGUGGGUAGCAAACAGG